UCAAUCAGCGGCGGACGGGUGAGUAACACGUGGGUAACCUGCCUGUAAGACUGGGAUAACUCCGGGAAACCGGGGCUAAUACCGGAUAACUCAUUUCCUCGCAUGAGGAAAUGUUGAAAGGUGGCUUUUAGCUAUCACUUACAGAUGGACCCGCGGCGCAUUAGCUAGUUGGUGAGGUAACGGCUCACCAAGGCGACGAUGCGUAGCCGACCUGAGAGGGUGAUCGGCCACACUGGGACUGAGACACGGCCCAGACUCCUACGGGAGGCAGCAGUAGGGAAUCUUCCGCAAUGGACGAAAGUCUGACGGAGCAACGCCGCGUGAGUGAUGAAGGUUUUCGGAUCGUAAAACUCUGUUGUUAGGGAAGAACAAGUACCGUUCGAAUAGGGCGGUACCUUGACGGUACCUAACCAGAAAGCCACGGCUAACUACGUGCCAGCAGCCGCGGUAAUACGUAGGUGGCAAGCGUUGUCCGGAAUUAUUGGGCGUAAAGCGCGCGCACGUGGUUUCUUAAGUCUGAUGUGAAAGCCCACGGCUCAACCGUGGAGGGUCAUUGGAAACUGGGGAACUUGAGUGCAGAAGAGGAAAGUGUAAAUCCUAGUGUAGCGGUGAAAUGCGUAGAUAUUUGGAGGAACACCAGUGGCGAAGGCGACUUUCUGGUCUGUAACUGACACUGAGGCGCG
RNAcentral lists this ribosomal RNA (683 nucleotides) under Rossellomorea vietnamensis. RNAcentral describes it as "bacterial SSU rRNA". It matches the Rfam family "Bacterial small subunit ribosomal RNA", at positions 88 to 755 of the family's 1533-position model. Lineage: Bacteria; Bacillati; Bacillota; Bacilli; Caryophanales; Bacillaceae. The record is from RNAcentral.